AUCCACUCUGCUGGAGUUUUGUAAGCGAGCCCAGGAUAUGGGGAUUCAUGGCUGCUGCUCUGAGAUUGCUUUUCUGGUCUGAUUGACUCAACUGGUGUACGUAGAAUACAGGAACAGUCCUUGAGAAAAGAAACAAGUUGUGACAGCAGCUCACAGCUGAGCUGACCAUCAUCACAGCUCAGCUGAAGCUUAGGAUGUAAGUUCCAUCUAUUUCCAGAAAGACGUGAGUUGCGGAGGCGUAAAGCCCAGGUUAUGGCUGAGCUGAGGAUCUUAUGCAGCUUUUAUGAAAUAACCUAUAGAUGUUCCUGCUGAUGAGUAGUACCUCAGAUGAAAUGAGCAUGUCCUAAGAGAUUUGGAAUAAGAACCAGUCAACAGAAGGGAACUGAUGCCAGAUUUGUUAGCGUCUCGGUAGCUUGAUGGCUCUCAAUUACUCUGUCUCUAAACCAAAGCCAUCUUUCUACCAAAGCAAUAAAGGGACAGUGCACAAUCUGACUACAGAAUGCAGUUUCCAAAGAAGUGAACUGUAAAGAAAGACUCAUGAAUUUUGAUCACAGGAUCUUGGAGAGCAUCUCUGAUGUCUGCUCCACUGAGGACCUCCCUGAGGUAGAGUUGGUGAGCAUGCUAGAGGAACAGUUGCCAGAUUACAAACUACGAGUGGACUCUCUGUAUCUUUAUGAAAAUCACGACUGGAUUCAGUCUCCUACCCACCGUGGUCAUCUUCCUGAAAUCUCUUCUCCGGUUCAUGAUGAGGAGACCUUCCGUUACAUGAUUCUAGGUACAGAUAAUAUGGAGCAGAAAACCUACAGUGAUGCUGAUAUGGUCAGACAUCUGCUAGCUGAGAAAGAUCGGGACCUGGAACUGGCAGCACGAAUUGGACAAGCCCUGCUUAAGCGAAACCAUCUGUUGACGGAACAGAAUGAAGCACUAGAAGAACAGUUAGGACAAACUCUAGAUCAAGUUAACCAGCUCCAGCAUGAACUGUCAAAGAAGGAUGACCUGCUUCGUAUUGUUUCAAUUGCUUCUGAGGAAAGCGAAACAGAUUCUAGCUGUUCCACACCACUUCGUUUCAAUGAGUCUUUCAGUGUAUCACAAGGUCUCUUGCAGCUGGAUAUCUUGCAAGAUAAACUCAGGGAGUUGGAGGAAGAGAACCUUGCUCUCCGAUCGAAGGCCUGUCAUCUGAAGACAGAAACCAUUACGUAUGAAGAGAAGGAACAGCAGUUAGUUAAUGACUGUGUCAGAGAGCUCCGGCAAACAAAUGCUCAAAUUUCCAGAAUAACAGAGGAGUUGUCAGAGAAGAGUGAGGAACUGGUCCGCUACCAAGAAGAGAUUUCAUCCCUUUUGUUUCAGAUUGUUGAUCUUCAGCAUAAACUCAAAGAACAUGUGAUUGAGAAGGAAGAGCUGAAACUUCACUUACAAGCUUCCAAAGAUGCUCAGAGACAACUGACAGCGGAGUUACAUGAGUUGCAAGAUCGGAAUGCAGAGUGUUUGGGGAUGCUGCAUGAAUCUCAAGAAGAAGUGAAGUUGCUGCGCAGCAGAGCCAGCUCUGUUGCUUGUCUCUGCCACCCUCAGGAUUCCCUUGCAGCAGAAAUUGAAGGGACAAUGCGGAAAGAACUGAGUCAGGUUGAUGAAUCUCUCCUAUCCAAGCAAAAGAGUCAACAGAAACGAGUAUUUGACACUGUCAGGGUUGCUAACGUUACUCGUAGCCGCUCUUCUUCUUUUCCUGCUCCAUUACCAAUCCCUGGAUCUAAUAGGUCAAGUGUUGUUAUGACAGCAAAGCCUUUUCAGUCAGGCUUACAGAUGGAAAGCCAUGCACAGAUGAUCCAGAGGAGCAGCUCUGAGAAGAAUUUGAAGGGCAGACAUAAGCCUGGCCAGCCAGGAACUCCUGGAGACAGUGAUUUAGUCACAGCUCUGCACAGGCUCUCUCUCCGUCACCAGAACUAUCUGAGUGAAAAGCAGUUCUUUGAGGAGGAGUGGGAGCGCAAAAUGCAUUUGCUGAAUGAGCAGAAAGAAGGGGCUAGUGGUUAUAGUACACCAACAGAAAGUUGUUUUUCCUUGGGUACAAACUCAGAAUUCACCGAUCUCUCUGCCAGCUCCAGUAACCUCCGUGUCCUCCUACCAGAAAAACUGCAAAUUGUCAAGCCCAUCGAAGGAUCUCAGACCCUGUUUCACUGGCAGCAGCUUGCUCGACCCAACCUAGGCACCAUACUUGACCCAAGACCAGGUGUUGUUACAAAAGGUUUUACCCCUCUGACCGAUGACUCUGUGCACCGCAUCUCUGACUUGGAGGAGGAUGAUGAAGAAGGGGAAGGAGGUAUAACAUUUCAAGUGCAACAGUCCUUCCCGGAGAAAAAUAAGUCUGCAGUGGCAAAACCAGUGUCAGGGAUUUUCCUGUCACCUAUUGCUUCAGUAGCAGUACCACUCACUGCCUUGAAUCCUGGCAAGUGUCUGUCUUCAACAAAUUCCACGUUUACUUUCACUACCUGUAGAAUCCUUCACCCGUCCGAUGUCACCCAAGUUACUCCCAGCUCUACGUCUGCCCCACUUUCACUUGGAAAUAGUGGCAAGAGCUUUGGAAACCAUGUAGUGAGCACUCCAGCCAUGUCUUACAGGCUUAGUAUUGGAGAAUUUCUCACCAACAGAGGAGAUUCAACUACUACCCUCAGCAGUACCAGCAGUCUGGCUCAACUCUUGCAAGAGCGUGGCAUCUCUGCCAAGGUUUAUGAUAGUCCCCUAUUAGAUAAACUGCCUCUGCUUCAGCCCCCUCGUACAGUCCCCGUUCCUUCUACUCCGCCGAAUUCUCCUUCACGUUCACCUUGUCCUUCCCCUCCACCCUUUGAGUCUCGAGUGCAUCACUCAGAAAAUUUCCUGGCUUCAAGACCAGCAGAAACAUUCUUGCAGGAAAUGUAUGGCCUAAAGCCCUCCCGUAACGCUCCAGAAGUAGGCCAGCUGAAGAUGAACCUGGUGGACAGGCUGAAGAGGCUGGGUAUUGCCAGGGUCGUCAAGCCCCCUGAUACACAGGACCACAAGAAGAAUCAGGGGGCAGAGAUUAGCUUGCGGAGGCCAGACUCAGCUGUGUUUUUAAAUGCAGGUAGCAACUUAAUGGCAGGACUGAGAAGAAACCAGAGUCUUCCAGCCAUGAUUGGAGCAUUAGGAGCCCCAGUCUGCACACAGUCAACAAAAAUGGAUAUCCUAAAAGAGGACUGAUUGCUCUGGACACUGGCUUAGUAAAUAAUUCAAGAGGGAUAAGCAUCCAGUACAGAAAAGGUUAGGUGUGUUACAGAAGAGUUGGAGAAGGCAUGUGCAUGUUAAAAGGGGUGGAGAGAGAAGUGAUAGGGUCAAGGAGAAAAGAACAUUGCUUGGGUCUGGGAAAGAAGGCUUUUGUGGAAGAUAAGAAAAUAAACAAGAAACCAAAGCUUAGUUUUGAGAUCUCUCCAGCAUCUGUCUUAGCUUAAGUAAAAGUUCCACUGUAGACGUUUUCAGUAUUUUAACCUUUUAAACUGUACUUGUAGAACUGUCUUGCAGGUGCUGUUCUAUUUUUUCUACCAUAUGGCUAUAGUAUUUAUAAUUUGUUAGCAGUCAGGCUGUAUCAUUUAAAUACGAUAUUAAGAUAAUAAUCAGUCUGACCAGCACCAUUUGUCCAAGUUCUUUUCUGUAGCAAAUACAAAAACUUGGAACUACUUUAAUUCUAGUAUUUUCUAGCUCAGAGACUGCUCUUUUGAACUCCCCAUGUUGAGAAGCAGAAGUGAAAACCUUUAAUUUGGCAUUUGAGCACAAAAGUAAAUGAUCAGGAUUUGUUUUUUUGAAAGAGUGCAAUUGUGCUAGUGAGUUACUCACGGAAGUUAAUUUCUUUCUAGAGCUUCUGAAGCAUACAGUGGAAAGUGCAAUGAAUGAGAACUAAGAAGAAUAAAAGUAUGUAUUAGGGUAAAAAUUUCAAGCUAAGAGAUCUUUUUUUUUUCACAUACAAAGAAAAAUCUCAGGCAUGUUUCAAUAUUGCAAAAGGAAAUAAAAACUAGGUGCUUGAUUCAGAGUUUAUUUUAUUUAUUUGGCAUAAGCAGAGAGCAUUUACCUAAAUGCUUGAAAAAUAAGUAAUCUGAAUCUUGACAGCUAGGCAUUCUGUACAUUGGAGACUUUGGCAGCAACAUCAUGCCUUUUGUUCAGAUAUUUCUGAUUUUAGGCAGGAUUUUGUUUGAAAGGUUUCAUUAAGAUCAAAAUUUAUCAUUCUGUAUUCAGAAAACGGAAGAUGAAAGCCGGUGUUCUUUUGUAGCAUUUUAUGAAUGCAGAUCAAUUUGGCCUGUGUUGAAAUCAUGUUUGAAUGAUGAAAAGUGGCUCUGACCUUCCUUCUGAAUUAACAUUGAGGCAAACUUUUUGUCUCAAAAGAAAACACCACUGGAGAAAUCUGGUUCCAGAGUGACAUUCAGCAAAGUAUUAUUGCCUGUCCUGCUUUUUGAAUUCCUUCCUGACCAAGCUUCUAGUCAUAACUGAAUAAUCUACAAUAGAUUUAAAAUGUAUCUUAAGAAUAAAUAUUUGUCCCACAUUCCUUGGGGGAAUAGAUCUUUGGCAGUGAUCAGAAUGGAAACAGGUUCUUAAAUCUGUUUGUGAUUUUUUUUUUUUUCAGUGCACCUGACCUAUUUGAAUGAUUUUAAGGUUUGUUUCCAUAUAGUUAGUUAGAACAGCCAGUGUUUGUUUACCUUGGCUGUUAGAGUGUAUGUGGGACAUAGGUGGCAUCUUUCUGGAUGUAUGGUGUGAAGCACUGGCAUAAUUACACUGAUUUGCAUUUGGCAUGUGGCACAUCCACACCUUUGUUGCUGCAGGAUUGAUUAGAGUAGGGCAGGAAAAGAAAGCUUCUUAAACUGAUUUAUUAUGUGGCCUUUCUGCUUUUACAGCCCUGUGGAUCUCAUGAUGACUCUGAUAUAGCAGUCUUUUUUUGUAAAAGGAAAAGGACUAGCCACUUCAAACUUGCACAGGGACUCUCAGCAGAAAUUUGUCUGUCAGCAGCGCACAGAAGUAUUCAGGAACUCCUGGAGUUGCCUUUUGCUCUCUAAGAAUCUUAUGAAAGAAAGCAAAAUAUCUGCUGCGGAGAGAAGCAUCCAGAAGAAAAUUACAUCAGUUGAAGAAAACCACCAGCUCACUGCAGUUUAUCUCUGUGAUGAAAAUGUUACCCUAAGGUAAGCACUGCAGAAUUAGUGCGAGCAAACAACUGACACCAAUGAGAGUUAGUCUAAAAUGUGCAAAUGUUUACCUCACUGUGUGUGCUGUGGCCUCUAUGGCUGUCCACUUGUAACUUAUUGGUGCACUGUCCCACUGACAGGGGUGCUUGUACAGGUAACUGCAAUACAUGUGCCUCAGCAGCACACAAAGAACCUUCAAAACCUUACUGGUGGUUGUUGUUGCUUUACAUAUCUGUUACAAGACCAAGAGCAUUAGAGGUAGAGGGAAUUUCCUUUUUUCUUCAUAUGCAUGAGUGUAAUUAGUCUGCAGAGCUGCUGGGAUUCCUUGUGAAUCAGUGAAAUAGUUGCUUUAUAAGAGGAAACCAAUUAUAAAAGAGUUUGAAAGGGCACACAUUUAAUUCCUAUUUGAAAAAGAGUUGCCAAACUGAUUAUGUGAGGAGAUUCCUAGUAAGACCUUGCUUAUGAGAUGCAUUUAUCUUGCUGGAAAAUUCCCACAGAUUUUUUAUACCAUGUUCUCCUGGGGAAAUUAUUUCCCUCAGAAUAGGUAACUGUAGUUGCUGUAGUUUUUUUCCUUUAACUCUUUAGAGUUGCCUAUACAAGCAUGCUGUCAGAUUCUUCUGAUUUCAAAUCUCUGGGCUCACUUAAAUUUUGUCAGCAAUACAAGCUUAAAAGACAUUCCAGCCUCUACCCAAAGGAAAGGGAACUGUGCAACUUGUCAUUUGGCUGUAACUGGUCCCAAGCUGGCUGAUCUGCAGUGUGACAAGCAGGACAGUUAGAAUAGCAGGAGCCCAGGGUGUAUGUACAGAACAGAACGUUGCUGAAGAGUACAGGUGUGACGUAAAAGGUAAAGUACUGAACAGUAUGUGUGGAGAGAGAAUCUUGGAUGAAAAUCCAAAGUAAAAAAGGUCACACUGGUAGCAAAGAGUGAAGAAAUAUUCAGCAGAGGAAUCUAGGGAAUUACUUACAUUCCAAAAAUGGUUCAACUGAAGACUUAUCUAAAAUCAGCUAUAUAGUCACCUACAUUAAUAUCGUUACUGUGCACAUAGUAAUCAGAGGAGGUAAUAUGUCUUUAAAGAGCUGUUCACUUAUCUAGUAAAAUCUUUUUUUGCUAUGCCUACAACAGAGACUUAAAGUCAGCAAGGUGAGUGAACAUAAGCAUAAUGCUGCACCUAUGCAAUUGAUUGGAAUGUUAAGAGUACUGUAGGUAAAGGAUACUGUGAAAUGCAGGUCACAGCUCAGGAUGCUGGAGGACAAGUUCUUGACUUGUUUUUGAGAAAGAUUGAGACUAAGUCUGAAUGAUUUAAAGCAGAGAGGUGUGUAAGAAAAUACUGAUGAGAUGAUGCAUUCUAUAAAAUUUGUAGUCCCACGUCUUUUAUUUUAUGAAAAGUUAAACAUAAAGUACACAAGGCUUUAUAUGAAUUUGUAUUUGAAAAGUAUCUUAACAAAACAACAGCAAUGUAUGGUAGGUACAGCUGGAAGGGCCUUCAAUCUAUUGUAAGUUUGCAAACUGGAGACCAGCUUUCAAGUAUAAAAAGCAUCACCUAAAUUAACUCUUACAUUCAUAAAGCUUUUAUUCCUUAUCUGUUACCAAUAAAAACAUUCAUAUAUAUAUAUAUAUAUUCUGCUAGGAGCAGACUGAUGUUUUACUGAAUUCUCAGCUGAGAUGAGUGGUUUUCAUGUUACUGCAGUGCUCUCUGUCUCUGCUCCCAUUUAGUUUACAGGAAAUAUAAGUUUUUUCCUCAGUGUGAAACUGGGCUGUGGCAUUUGCUUUCCUGCAUUCUGCUUGUCAAUCUUGCUGCUCACCUCUUGAUUCACUGCUGUCAGUAUGGUGAGAAUAUCUUCUCCUCUGCAAAAAAUACAGGCAGUUUUGUGUUAGAGUAUUUGUAUGUAACAUCAGAAAAGUUACUGUGUUCUUAUAUAUCAUCUUGACCUGUGCAACUGCUAAUGGCUCUUCCUUUAAACCAUCUUUAAAGCAGUUGGGUGAACUGCUUCAAACAGUCAGUGUUGCUAUUCUACAUUGCUCUUUUCACUUUGAGUGAUCACUCCCAGUGCACGUUAUCUACCUCUGCAUUCAAAUCAAACUUGUGUCCUCCAAAAGGAAGAUAAAAGGUGUUGCUAAAAAGUAUCUUAGGAAGUAUAGUUACCGAGGACAGCUGUUCUCCAAGUGUUGGCACAGUGACUGUAUGUACCAGGUCCCCUGGCUUGGGCUUCUGUAGGAGACGUAAUCUUGCAGGGUAGCCAUGCCCAAGAGGAAGUCUGCCUCUGAGGGGAUGCAGUCCAGCUGAAAUCUUGCAUCCGUUUCUAAAGAAUGAUCUUGCUGCCCGGAAUCUGUUUCAAUGGUUACACCUUUCUGAUAAGCACCACCUUGGCAAGCCUGAACGAAGAAGACUUUUGGUUUUCCAGCAAGUGACUGGCAAUUUUGCCCAGUGAAAGAAGUGGUCAGUUCCUGGAUAGGUACUUCCUGCCCAUCAACACCGUAUAUGAUGCCUUUUUUUCCAUGAGAGAGAAUACAGCAAACAAAACAGUCUUUGUUGUUGUGGUCCAUGCACCGAUAGUUGUUCACUAUCUUACGGAUUUCCUCUGCAGUGCAGUCUUUGUAUUCUGCUACUGUAAAAUGAAGGUUGCUGAAGACUUUUCUCAGAGCAUCUGGAAAGUAAACCAAGGAGUAUUUAAAGCAGUUUUCUAAAAUUACAAAUAAACUCUUUUUUUUUUUUUUUUUUUUUUUUUAAAUCCUGCCAUCCUGUUAUCCAGGUAUUUACAGUUUUUAUCUGAAAAUAAUGUAGUAGUCUGAUCACUAAUCAUAUUUGUUUUACAUUCCCUUCUCUCUCAAUAAAAGAAUUCCUUGUGA
Molecule: RNA transcript, 8016 nt
Organism: Centrocercus urophasianus (Greater sage-grouse)
Lineage: Eukaryota; Metazoa; Chordata; Aves; Galliformes; Phasianidae
Gene: TRAK2
Gene name: trafficking kinesin protein 2
Exons: 19
Source: RefSeq, a predicted model, not a curated record